RNAcentral lists this long non-coding RNA (473 nucleotides) under Homo sapiens (human). RNAcentral describes it as "HSALNT0339907". Lineage: Eukaryota; Metazoa; Chordata; Mammalia; Primates; Hominidae. The record is from RNAcentral.
ACAGUAAUUACCUCCCUGCAUCCCAAACUAAGAGGACAAAUUAAGUCAGAACUUGAAAAUAAUUUAAAAGAGUUUUCCCUUGUUUCAAAUAGGAAAAGGAAACGCCAAGACAUAGAAAACCACGCUUUUCCCGUAGGAAGAACCGAUGAUGAGCCCUGAUGAAAGAAGGAAGAAGACCCGCUGUCUGCGAAGGCCUAAAGGCCGCGGUUGCCAGGAACCGUGGAGGGCCAACUCCUCCCAACCGCCCUGGUGCAAAGUCCCACGCGGCGAAGAGUUUUGGAGCAGCGCUUACCUAGAAAGAUGUUUAAAUUCUGAACCAGGAAUUGUCUCCAACUCCAGGCGCUCAGGGAAUCGCCUUUUCCGGUGUCCAGGCGCUCUGCAGACAAAUAAACAGCAGAAGGUGAAUGGCGGCUGCGAGGGAAGGGAGUUGGAGGCCGGGAGUGGGAAGCGAGGCUCAUGCGGGCGCCAAGGUG